GUAGACUGGGAUAACACCUCGAAAGGGGUGCUAAUACCGGAUAAUGUCAAAUGAUGGCAUCAUCAAUUGAAGAAAGGAGAAAUCCGCUAUAGGAUGAGUCCGCGUCCCAUUAGCUAGUUGGCGGGGUAAAAGCCCACCAAGGCGACGAUGGGUAGCCGGCCUGAGAGGGUGAACGGCCACACUGGAACUGAGACACGGUCCAGACUCCUACGGGAGGCAGCAGUGGGGAAUAUUGUGCAAUGGGGGAAACCCUGACACAGCGACGCCGCGUGAGCGAAGAAGGCCUUCGGGUCGUAAAGCUCAAUAGUAUGGGAAGAUAAUGACGGUACCAUACGAAAGCCCCGGCUAACUACGUGCCAGCAGCCGCGGUAAUACGUAGGGGGCGAGCGUUGUCCGGAAUUACUGGGCGUAAAGAGCACGUAGGCGGCUAUAAAAGUCAGAUGUGAAAAACCUGGGCUCAACCGAGGGUAUGCAUCUGAAACUAAAUAGCUUGAGUCAAGGAGAGGAGAGCG
This 512-nucleotide ribosomal RNA is filed under the name Thermoanaerobacterium sp. Its description in RNAcentral is "bacterial SSU rRNA". It matches the Rfam family "Bacterial small subunit ribosomal RNA", at positions 133 to 663 of the family's 1533-position model. The record is from RNAcentral. Lineage: Bacteria; Bacillati; Bacillota; Clostridia; Thermoanaerobacterales; Thermoanaerobacteraceae.